Long non-coding RNA from Salvelinus fontinalis (brook trout), 6671 nucleotides. RefSeq lists it as uncharacterized. The record is from RefSeq and is a predicted model, not a curated record. The transcript has 3 exons. NCBI's taxonomy places the organism in Eukaryota, Metazoa, Chordata, Actinopteri, Salmoniformes, Salmonidae.
AGGAGAGUUACAAGGGAAAAUCUUACACACACUCGGCCUCAUUGUCAAAACAGACCCUGUGCACAACAGUAACUUACUCGAAGAGAAGCACCACCAUUGAACCACAAGUCCAGUUCUGCAGUUCUCCCAUAGAGACAAAGGAGCCUUCAAAAUGGCCAAGACCUGAGCCCUAGGACCAUGCCUCAGGACUACCUGGCACGAUGACUCCUUGCUGUCCCCAGUCCACCUGGGGACAGCUGCUGCUCCAGUUUCAACUGUUCUGCCUGCGGCUAUGGAACCCUGACCUGUUCACCGGACGUGCUACCUGUCCCAGACCUGCUGUUUUCAACUCUCUAGAGACCGCAGAAGCGGUAGAGAUACUCUUAAUGAUCGGCUAUGAAAAGCCAACUGAAAUUUACUCCUGAUGUGCUGACUUGCUGCACCCUCGACAACUACUGUGAUUAUUAUUAUUUGACCAUUAUUUGAUCAUUUAUGAACAUUUUAACAUCUUGGACAUGUUCUGUUAUAAUCUCCACCCGGCACAGCCAGGUGAGGACUGGCCACCCCUCAUAGCCUGGUUCCUCUCUAGGUUUCUUCCUAGGUUUUGGCCUUUCUAGGGAGUUUUUCCUAGCCACCGUGCUUCUACACCUGCAUUGCUUGCUGUUUGGGGUUUUAGGCUGGGUUUCUGUACAGCACUUUGAGAUAUCAGCUGAUGUACGAGGGGCUAUAUAAAUACAUUUGAUUUGAUGUAGUUGCAUUUGAGAACAAGGUUCACUUGCAGAUUCGUUUUAAACUCUAGGCUGAGUUGGAGUUAUCGAAUGAUGAGUUGACGACACGUUCCAAUUUCAAAGGUUUGUUGGACAGAUGUGCCGUCACUGUCGUCAUUGGCGUUUUUUUCUCCUGUUUGUUUAUGCCAUUGCCAUACAGCAAAACCUACCUUUGACCACUGUUUCUCUGCACAAAUAUUGACUGGAGCACAGAGCCAUCGUCAUCAGCUGGGAAGGAGUCACUGACAUGAGGUUCGAUGAGGAGAGACAAGCGUCAGACAAUCAGUGAAACAUGUUACACAACGUUUAGGUCGCAUUAUGUAGGCUGUAGGAUAUCGAAGAUACACUGUUGUUAGAUAUGAUGGUAUGACCUGAAUCAAGGUCUGCAUUCUGCAAUGAAUGCUCCCACGAUCCAAUGAAUACAAAAUCGUCUGCGUAUAUUUAAGCAAUAAGACAAGAGGGGGUUUGUGGUAUGUGGCCAAUAUACCACGGCUAAGGGCUGUCCUUAAGCACGACGCAACGCGGAGUGCCUGGAUACAACCGUUUGUCGUGGUAUAUUGGGCUAAUACCACAAACCCUUUUGGUGCCGUAUUGCUAUUAGAAACUGGUUACCAACGUAAUUAGAGCAGUAAAACUAAAUGUUUUCUCAUACCCCGUGGUAUAGUCUGAUAUACCACGGCAGUCAGCCAAUCAGCACUCAGGGCUCGAACAACGCAGUUUAUAAUUGUGUAUAAUAUUACAAAUGCUUAUUGUGUGUUUUUAAUAAGUUAUAACUAGGCAUUAAUGUGAAAAUAGAUAAAUCCAUUCAAUGAAAAUGCUACAAAUUUUUUCUCAUGGAUUUCUCACCAAAGGGCAUUGUCUUUCAGAUUGGUUUAGUCCUUGUUAGAAUCGUAAUAUCACAAACAGAACUGGAGUUAUAACCAGUUUUAGGAGGGCAUGUCAUUUUUUAAAUGGUUUUCCCCGGCCUGUUACGCUUCUACUCUGAUAGUUGAAUGUGCCAUGCCUAGUAUAUAAUCAUGCCUAGUUGAUAAUCACCCCAAUAAUUCUUCUAAUCUGAAAAUAAACUACACAGAAUCAACUGUUACACGUAUAACAACAUAUGAAAUAACUGAAGCAUAGAAUUAUGGGUGAGAAAAGGGGAGAAUGGGGGAGUUGAUAAGUGAGGGGAAGUGAACGUCGCACAAUUAUGUAGUCACCAAUUGUGAAUGAAGAACAGGGCGAGCCAUUCUACUGUAUUCAUCUAUUCUAAUUAGCUAUAAUCUCAAAACGGUGUACCCUUUAUCAGUCCCCCGAAUACAAGCAGUCUUAAGGGGUCCACAUGCUUCCCAGACUAAACAGUUUGUGCAUAUACAAUAUUAUUACAACAUUUUGUGACAUUUUUGUUGGUUUUGGACUUUGGUGAAGGGUUUUUUCUUGACGUAAACCUAAAUCGGUAGUCGGAGUCUACAGCCCUUCGUUGGUGAUUGGCCAGUAGGGAUUAUCCAGUAAAAUCUUUGCUGUCAUUCAACGAGAGAUGAUUCGUUUCUGUCACGUUCCUGACCUGUUUUCUCUUGUUUUGUAUGUGUUUAGUUGGUCAGGGCGUGAGUUGGGGUGGGCAUUCUAUGUUUUGUGUUUCUAUGUUUAGGUCAGUGGUAAUUAGCCUUAUAUGCUUCUCAAUCAGGGACAGGUGUUUGACGUUUCCUCUGAUUGAGAACCAUAUAAAGGUAGGCUGUUCACACUGUUUGUUUGUGGGUGGUUGUCUUCCGUGUUUGUGUCUGUGCACCACACGGGACUGUUUCGUUCGUUUGUUCGUUCGUUUGUGUAGUCUGUACCUGUUCAUGCGUUCUUCGUGUUUAUGUAAGUUCUCUAGUUCAGGUCUGUCUACAUCGUUUAUUUGUUUUAUAGUUUGUUGAAGUAUUUUUAAUUUUUCAAUUUUCAUCUUUACUUUAAUAAAUAUUAUUAUGUCACAUAACAACGCUGCACUUUGAUCCAAUCCCUACUCCUCCUCUUCGGACAACCGUUACAGUUUCACUUUUUUUUAUAUAAAUACUGCAUUGAAUGCAAGAGAAGCCAGUGAGCAUUUGACCUCCCUUUAUAGAAAAAGUAUUAAAAUGUGUUGCAAUCAAAUGAAAGUGACAAAGAUUUGUGGUGACUGUUUAGGACAAGGGAUAAGAGCUAAAUGAGAUCCAACUAUUGCGUGAAAACGCACACCAUACUGUAAGCACGAGUGAGGCCACAAAUAAUGUGUAAGGUCCCAGUUUGCCACAUUGCAGCCUCAACCAUAUCAUAAACAUUUUAUCUGCUGCCUUCCACUCAACAUCAACUCCAGCGAACCCUCAUCGUCAGCAAGGAUUCUCUGUACAAAACGACACAAAACUCUGCCAAAAUCCUAAUUCAAUUUUCAAUUUUUUUCGUCCACUUUGAGGUCAUCUCAUCUUUUCACCAUUGCUCAUCGUGUUAGAUGAUUGCAUUAUUGUACAUUAAAUCAUCAUUUUUUUACUUUAUCGUACAUAACAUCUUCAUGGUAACAUGAUGUGAUUGUCAGAGAUGCAUGGAUCAUUUUUCGAUUGAUUCCUAACUGUUGCUGUUUAGGACGACUGAGAACAAUUGUUUCCAGAGUACGUUUCAAACUCUCCUCUCAGUCAGAAGAACUUGUUGCUAACAGAAUGCACUUUGUCCCAUCUGAUUACUUUUUGGCAUUUAUCUAUUCUGCAGAGCAUAAUGAAAGACAUACACCGUGUGUGGUUCAGGGGUUCUACAUAAGGCUCAUUCAAAGUACUGUAAUGUAAUUCCUAUCAGAAACACAUGUCACUGUUGUGGUGUUUCCCGUUCAAAACUGCAGCACUUAAUUUGGACUUUUUUAGCCCCCUUAAAAUAUCAUAUGUGACUAUUCAGGAAUAUGUUGGGAACAUUCAGGAACAUGUUGUUAAAUAUAUUUCACAAACACAGUAAUGUUCUCAAACCUCAGCAUAAGAGCGUUGACUUAUUAGGUAUCUUUAUAUGCUGUGGUGAAGUUGAGAACUUGAGAGGCCUGAUUUGCACAAAGGUUAGGGAUCAAACGGACAGUCCACCAUGUAUUAUCCAACGUUUGUGAGAGGAUCCCAAUCCAUAAUGGAUGUCUCAUGCUUGCAGAUAAACUCUGUACCAUUGCAUUUCCCAUCACUAUCUUGUCCCCCCCCAUCACACCACAACCAUUCCAACCUUUCCCUUGACAGAACAAUUCCCACUUCUGACACCAGUGUGUAACAUAUGUUACCAAGAAAGCAUAACGUGAAAAUUAAAUAAAACAUUGCCCAUAAAAUAAAUGAAACUUCAAAUAUAUUAAAAGAAUGUGUUGAUGUACAGUGCCUUCAGCAAGUACUCAUACCCCUUGAUUUAUUUCACAUUUUGUUGUGUUAAAGCUUGAACUCAAAAUUGAUUAAACAGAUUUUGGUUCUCACACAUCUACCCACAAUACCCCAUAAUGACAAAACAUGUUAAUUGAAAAUGAAAUACAGAAAUAUCUUAUAUGCAUAGGUAUUUACAACCCUGAAUCAAUAUUUCAUAGAAGCACCUUUUGCGGCGAUUACAGCUUUGAAUGGUGUUGGGUGUCUGUUUCAGCUUUGCACACCUGGAUUUGGGGAUUUUCUCUCAUUCUUCCUUGCAGAUUUUCUCAAUCUGUUAACACUUAGAGCGCUGGAAUUCCAUAACUACUAGAAUGGCCAUGAUGAUCAUUCUGACCCGUUAAUAUUUCAAUUGUAUAAAUAUUCCAUAAUAAAUAAUAAAUUGCUAAAAGAAUGCAUUUAUUAUGAUAAAAUAGGUAAUAAGAAACCUCAGAACACCAAAUGCAUAUUGUAUUCAGUCAGAAAAUGUAUUGAUUCAUCCAUAAGCGCAUAGACUUUAAAUACUAAAAAUACUAAAAUACUAAGAUGAUAGUGUAUUUUCUGACUGUAAGCCAACAGUUGCCUGCCAAGCUGGCACGAGCAAACUACACCUAAACUAUAUUGAAACUAAUUUCACACAUAUAGUAAUAAUAAUAAUAAUAAUAGGUGUGGCCUAAAGACAAGAUUAAAUUGACAGUAGUCUGAUGGGAGACAAUAUUAUCAUUUGUCAAAUAGAGAACGAUGAGACUGAUGACCUGCACAGCGUGCAUUGACAGUGUGUAUUGACAAAGAAGCCAGGAGCUUAACAAAUUGCACUUCUUCCAUAUCGUCCUACAGAGGUCCAUGCAGUCCAGAUGUUUUAAUGCUAUACCCUAUCAGAAAGAGCAGAUUCCAUGGUUUCUAAUGAAAUUGUUUUUGCCAAAAAAAACAGUACAAAUUGAGGGGAUGGCCUCUGUUUCAAAAUAUAACUUAGCGGACAUCAGGGCAUGUAAUGUCUGCUUAAUGAAAAAGUUGAUUUCAUUGGUAUGGUGCAGCCAUAGAUUGGCAUGGUGCAGCGAUAGCCUUGGCUACUAAGUGCAGAGAAAUUGUUCCUUUGUUUUGUCUUUUGUUUUAGUUGGUCAGGGCGUGAGUUGGGUGGGUAAUCUAUGUUUUCUAUUUCUGUGUUGGUUUUCUGUGUUUGGCCUGAUAUGGUUCUCAAUCAGAGGCAGCUGUCAAUCGUUGUCCCUGAUUGGGAACCAUAUUUAGGUAGCCUGUUUUCUGUUGGGUUUUGUGGGUGGUUGUUUUCAGUCUUUGUGUGUCUGCACCAGAUAGAACUGUUUCGGUUUUCACUUUGUUGUUUUUGUAUUUUGAGUUGUUCACUUUCAUUAAAUAAGAUGAACAAUUACCACGCUGCGCAUUGGUCCUCCAAUCCUUCGAACUUCUCCUCCUCAGACGAGGAGGAAGACGACAGCCGUUACAGAUAUACAACUCAAAACAUGCUAUUCUGUUAUUUGUAUUACCUUCCUAAAUGAAGUAUUAAUGGAUUUAUUUGGGAUUGUGUAUAUUAACACAAGAAAGGCAGCAAGAAUCAUAAUGACAAAAAUGUAUUUGUGUUGAAUUAUUCUCCAUUUUUUAAGUCAUAGUCUUUGACUUUUCCUAAAUACAUCUAUAUAACACACUGUCCUUGUUAGAAUCGUAAUAUCACAAACAGAACUGGAGUUAUAACCAGUUUUAGGAGGGCAUGUCAUUUUUUAAAUGGUUUUCCCCGGCCUGUUACGCUUCUACUCUGAUAGUUGAAUGUGCCAUGCCUAGUUGAUAAUCAUGCCUAGUUGAUAAUCACCCCAAUAAUUGCUUCUAAUCUGAAAAUAAACUACACAGAAACAACUGUUACACGUAUAACAACAUAUGAAAUAACUGAAGCAUAGAAUUAUGGGUGAGAAAAGGGGAGACUGGGGGAGUUGAUAAGUGAGGGGAAGCGAAUGACGCACAAUUAUGUAGUCACCAAUUGUGAAUGAAGAACAGGGCGGGCCAUUCUACUGUAUUCAUCUAUUCUAAUUAGCUAUAAUCUCAAAACGAUGUACCCUUUAUCAGUCCCCCGAAUACAAGCAGUCUUAAGGGGUCCACAUGCUUCCCAGACUAAACAGUUUGUGCAUAUACAGUAUUAUUACAACAUUUUGUGACAUUUUUGUUGGUUUUGGACUUCGCUUCGUUGGUGAUUGGUCAGUAGGGAUUAUUCAGUAAAAUCUUUGUUGUCAUUCAACGAGAGAUGACUUGUUUCACUUUUUUUUAUAGAAAUACUGCAUUGAAUGCAAGGGAAGCCAGCGAGCAUUUGACCUCCCUUGAUAGAAAAAGUAUAAAAAAUGUGUUGCAAUCAAAUGAAAGUGACAAAGAUUUGUGGUGACUGUUAGGACAAGGGAUAAAAGCUAAAUGAGAUCCAACUAUUGCGUGAAGACGCACACCAUACUGUAAGCAUGAGUGAGGUCACAAAUAAUGUGUCCAAUAACUGACAAUAAUAGACCAUUUUUGACCGCUUUCAUAUGGACACAUAUUCAUUAUAAUGCCAUUAUUGCACAAUUCACAAGCACUCUUGGCAUCUAUACUGAUG